Long non-coding RNA from Hylaeus volcanicus, 2483 nucleotides. RefSeq lists it as uncharacterized. NCBI's taxonomy places the organism in Eukaryota, Metazoa, Arthropoda, Insecta, Hymenoptera, Colletidae. The record is from RefSeq and is a predicted model, not a curated record. The transcript has 4 exons.
UACUCUAAAUAUAGAUUCUUCAUAACUGUUGUAAAAAUCAGAACGUGUAUUGUAAUCGGUUUUACCUUUUACAGAGUCGUCUGAAGGUCCAUCAGUACCAGGUAUCCUGAACGGCCAAUACUUUACAAUCGUCAAGGAGAAAUCAAAUUCGAAGUGCGUCGUAGGCGUAUGUAACCUAUGUACAACGAAGAGGACAGAAAUUAAAGGCCAAAUGACCUCGACGUCAAAUUUUCGCUCGCAUUUGAAGCGCAAACAUUCAUCUGCGUUCGAGGAAUAUUGCAGCGAAAUGUCGGCAAAGCAAAGACGGAAUUUUUCUGCAAGAAAUCGAAAUGCAAGGGCUGCUGGGAACCAAUUUGAAACGGAUGUGGCAGCUUUUGUAAUCAGUGCAAUGAUUCCGUUGCAGGUAGUCGAAAACAAAAGUUUUCGGCAAAUAUUCCAGAAUUUCGGCUGCAAUCAGAAAAUGACCAGCCGCCGCACGUUGGAAAGAGUCAUUGGCACAAUGUACAAUGAUGCGGUUUGUACAAUAAAGGAGGAUUUGAGCCAAGUGGAAUAUGUAUGUACCACCGCUGAUAUUUGGUCAUCAAGACGCCGAAGUUUCUUUGGAGUAACGGCGCAUUAGAUAGACGAACAAUGCUCCCGAAAAUCAGCAACCCUUGCGUGCCGACGCUUUCCCGGUACGCACUCUUUUGAAAGAAUUCAAGAGAUGAUGACUGGCAUUCAUAUUGAAUUUGGAUUGGAUUAUGCCAAAAUUGUUGCGACAGUCACGGAUAAUGCAAGCAAUUUUGCGAAAGCAUUCAGGAUGUUUGGAGUACAACAUGACGUACUCGAAGUCGCUGGAGAAAAUACAUGCGCGGACGUCGCGGAUUAUUCGUCGUCGAGUUCGGCCAGCGAGGAGGAUGAAGAUGACGACGUUUUAGAAGGCCACGAAGAAACAGAGAGAGACCAAUGUGGAACAGUUUUGGAGCAGAUACUGCCCUGUCACAUCCGAUGUGCAGCCCACACUCUUAGUUUAUGUAUUACCUCCAACGUGUGCCGUGCACUACGUGAAAACGAGGAAUUGGCGAGCAUACAUAAUGAUGUAAUGGAGAAAUGCAACAUGCUGUGGAAAGCAGCGAUGAGGCCGAAAUCGGCCGAAAUCAUCCAGCGCGUAAUCGGGCAUACAUUAAGUAGGGCUGGAAAAACAAGAUGGAAUUCUUUAUACUAUUCAUUGAAGCAGAUAUUGGUCGUAAAAGAUAAAUUAGGCGAACUUGACAAACCCUUGGAGAUGAAAUCCACCAUACGUGAAAAUGAAAUUAAAUACAUCGAGGAGCACCUCGAGUGUACGAAGCCAAUAGCGGAGGCUAUUGAUAUUUUACAAGAAUAAGAAUAUUUUCUACGGUGUAUUUCUACCUUGUAUUUGAUCUCUUCGGAGAAAAUUAGACAAUUUAAAAAACACUACGUGGAGAUUCUGCGGACCACUUAGUUCCUGCCUUUACGACAGUGUGGAAAGAAGAUUCAAAAAGUUCUUUUUGUUGACUACUGCAGAAGCCGAGAUGGCAGCGUUGGCUGCCUUAACUCAUCCGCGAUUUAAAAAUCGCUGGUGUCGAUGUAUUGGCAGUGACGACCAGAAUAGGAUAGUAAUGAGAUUAGAGAAAGAAGUAAGUGAUCUACUGAAACGCGGCACAUCCAGCAAUACACCACCUUCGUCGUCAGAUGGUGACGAUUAUUUUGAGUUCGGCGACGACGACAACAACGUAGAAGCAAGUGAUUCUUCAGCGCAAGCAAAAUUGCAAGUGCUGCACUUUUUUUGUGAAAAAAAAAGAUUUUAAUAUAUUGCAAGCGUAUCCAGAAAUAAGAAAAUUGUUCUUCAAGUACAAUACGCCACUGCCAUCUUCAGCACCCGUAGACCGGUUAUUUUCGUACGCGACAAUAACAAAUGCGCCUAAAUCAAAUAGGCUAUCAGACAAGACGUUUGAAAAGAAAGUGAUUUUAAAAUCAUAUUUAAAAGAAAGAGACAGUUAAAUCGCACCGUACUGCUAAGUGCCACCGAUCUAUCGGUUUUUCUCAAUUGCAAACAGUUGCAAUUGUGCCGCGGAUCUCACGAUCACGCGAGUUGUUAAAAGAUCGAAAAAGUAAAUUUUAGAUACACAAAUCAUGGAAAAAUCUAAGUUUCCGCGAAGAAGAUUCAAUGGAACAAAAUCCACUGAUUUGCCCACUUUAGAAAGAAAAGGUCGGGCAAAAUCGUCCAUCGUCAAGUCAAUGGAAAUACUUUGACCGGUUUUCACGACGACGAUGCGCGACGCUUUGAUUGGCCGCCUUCGAGAGAAGAAAAGUGCUGAUCAGGCAAAAUCUCUGUCGGCGACGGAGACUGUGGGUACGACACUUGUCGCUCGCGAUAAUGAAUAUCUUCCGAGUAGUGAUCUUUACGAGACCACCGUGUUGGUGAUUCCUUUCGAGGGAUCUGUCUACAUCCUAUACUUUAUAAUUCUUAUAUAUUAUUUAUA